UUACCCAACAGCUAGCCCCUUAUUUAAAUUCAACAACUCAACAUUAAUACCCCCUAAUACACAAAAUUUUAACAAACAAACCAUUUUACCUCCUUAGUAUGGGCGACAGAAAAGGAAAGAAGGAGCAAUAGAGAAAGUACCGCAAGGGAACGCUGAAAGAGAAAUGAAACAAACCAGUAAAGUUUAAAAAAGCAGAGAUUAAAUCUCGUACCUUUUGCAUCAUGAUUUAGCUAGAAAAUUUCAAGCAAAGAGCACUUUAGUUUGCCUCCCCGAAACUAAGUGAGCUACUCCAAGUCAGCCUGUCAAAAGGGCCAACCCGUCUCUGUUGCAAAAGGGUGGGAAGAACUUAGAGUAGAGGUGACAGACCUACCGAACUUAGUUAUAGCUGGUUGCUUGGGAAUUGAAUAGGAGUUCAGCCUUUCAAUUUCUUCCUUCUCAAUUGCCUCAGCUAGUCCUGAUUAAAAGAAACUGAAAGAGUUAAUUAAAGGGGGUACAGCCCCUUUAAAUCAAGAUACAACUUUUUAAGAUGGGUAAAGAUCAUAUUUUUUAAGGCAUAAUGUUUUAGUGGGCCUAAAAGCAGCCAUCUAAAGAAAGCGUUAAAGCUCAGACAUUUUAUCUCAGCCCUUUAAUACCGAUAAUUUAUCUCACCCCUCUAAAUGUACCAAGCCGCCCCAUGCAUGCAUGGGGGUGAUAAUGCUAAUAUGAGUAAUAAGAAAAACGAUUUUCUCCUUGCACAUGUGUAAAUCGGAGCGGACACCCCACCGAAAAUUACCCGGUCCCAAACCAAGAGGGCAGUGAAAAAAUAAAUUAAACAACAAGAAAACCUCUCAAACACUUACCGUUAACCCUACACAGGUGUGCUUUUUAAGGAAAGACUAAAAGAAAAAGAAGGAACUCGGCAAACACAAGCCUCGCCUGUUUACCAAAAACAUCGCCUCUUGCAAACAAUGAAUAAGAGGUCUCGCCUGCCCUGUGACAAAAGUUUAACGGCCGCGGUAUUCUGACCGUGCAAAGGUAGCGUAAUCACUUGUCUUUUAAAUGAAGACCUGUAUGAAUGGCAUAACGAGGGCUUAACUGUCUCCUUUUUCAAGUCAAUGAAAUUGAUCUCUCCGUGCAGAAGCGGGGAUAACAACAUAAGACGAGAAGACCCUAUGGAGCUUUAGACACUAAAGCAGAUCUUGUUAAACAUCCCUGUAUAAAGGAAAAAACCAAAAGAAACCUGCCCUACUGUCUUUGGUUGGGGCGACCGUGGGGAAAUAAAAAUCCCCCAUGUGGACUGAGAAUACUAUUCUUAAAAAUAAGAGCCACAGCUCUAAUUAACAGAAAUUCUGACCUUUAGAUCCGGCAAUGCCGAUCAACGGACCGAGUUACCCUAGGGAUAACAGCGCAAUCCUCUUUUAGAGCCCAUAUCGACAAGAGGGUUUACGACCUCGAUGUUGGAUCAGGACAUCCUAAUGGUGCAGCCGCUAUUAAGGGUUCGUUUGUUCAACGAUUAAAGUCCU
This 1502-nucleotide ribosomal RNA is filed under the name Trichogaster labiosa (thick lipped gourami). Its description in RNAcentral is "partial 16S ribosomal RNA". It matches the Rfam family "Bacterial large subunit ribosomal RNA", at positions 124 to 2597 of the family's 2925-position model. Lineage: Eukaryota; Metazoa; Chordata; Actinopteri; Anabantiformes; Osphronemidae. The record is from RNAcentral.